Molecule: non-coding RNA, 235 nt
Filed under: Natranaerobius thermophilus
Lineage: Bacteria; Bacillati; Bacillota; Clostridia; Natranaerobiales; Natranaerobiaceae
Description: T-box sequence
Rfam family: T-box leader
About the family: Uncharged tRNA acts as the effector for transcription antitermination of genes in the T-box leader family. T-boxes are found upstream of many aminoacyl-tRNA synthetase genes and some amino acid biosynthetic genes usually in Gram-positive bacteria.
Source: RNAcentral
UUAUCGGCCGUGAAGGGAAGAGUAAUCUGCACUUACUAUCUACAGAGAGCCGGGAAUGCUGGGAACCGGUGAUAGUGUGUAGAUGAAGAUCAUCCUUGAGCUCUUUGAGUGAACUAAUAGUAGCUCAAAGCGAAUGGCAAGCGUUAAUUGCCCUGAGAGCCCGUAUAUCAUUCGUUAAGAUUUUGCUUAGGUGUGCGGGUAAUAGGGUGGUACCGCGAGUAACCUCGUCCCUAUC